AUACGCGGGCUGAGACCAUGUCUCCCGAAUAAUCUCGGUACAUAUGGCGUCAGAUGGUUUGACAUCUCGAGGGCAGAGUGGGCUCGGGUCUUGUUCCAUCUCACAGUCAUUUCCACGUCU
This 120-nucleotide ribosomal RNA is filed under the name Silene conica. The record is from RNAcentral. Lineage: Eukaryota; Viridiplantae; Streptophyta; Magnoliopsida; Caryophyllales; Caryophyllaceae.